UGAGGAAUAUUGGUCAAUGGGGCGGAAGCCUGAACCAGCCAUGCCGCGUGAAGGAAGAAGGUCCUAUGGAUUUUAAACUUCUUUUGUCGGAGAGCAAUAAGGGUCUCGCGAGAUCCGAUGAGAGUAUCCGACGAAUAAGCAUCGGCUAACUCCGUGCCAGCAGCCGCGGUAAUACGGGGGAUGCGAGCGUUAUCCGGAUUUAUUGGGUUUAAAGGGUGCGUAGGCGGUCCGGUAAGUCAGCCGUGAAAAGCCCCCGCUCAACGGGGGUCGUGCGUUUGAUACUGUUGGACUGGAAUGCGGAUGCCGUGGGAGGAAUGUGUGGUGUAGCGGUGAAAUGCAUAGAUAUCAGGAGGAACACCAGUGGCGAAGGCGGCUUUCUGGACUGUAACUGAC
Molecule: ribosomal RNA, 393 nt
Filed under: uncultured bacterium
Lineage: Bacteria
Description: bacterial SSU rRNA
Rfam family: Bacterial small subunit ribosomal RNA
Source: RNAcentral